GUAAGAACCUCAUCUUUCUUGAUCUGAAGAUAUUGGGGUUUAGAUAUAUUGUGCCCAGUGGGCCACUUUUGGUAAGCAGAACUGGCGCUGUGGGAUGAACCAAACGUGAUGUUACGGCGCCUAAAUUAAUGACUCAUAUUGAUACCAUGAAAGGCGUUGGUUGCUUAAAACAGCAGGACGGUGGACAUGGAAGUCGUAAUCCGCUAAGGAGUGUGUAACAACUCACCUGCCGAAGCAACUAGCCCUUAAAAUGGAUGGCGCUCAAGUCAUAUGCCUAUACAUCACCGCUAAAAUAUAAAAAUUUUAUUUUUUAAAUAAAAUUUAUCAAAUUUUAGUGAGUAGGAGGGUACAAUGGUGUGCGCAGAAGUGUUUGGCGUGAGCCUGCAUGGAGCCGCCAUUGGCACAGAUCUUGGUGGUAGUAGCAAAUAAUCGAAUGAGAUCUUGGAGGACUGAAGUGGAGAAGGGUUUCGUGUGAACAGUGGUUGAUCACGAGUUAGUCGGUCCUAAGCUCUAUGCGAAAGCUGUUUAAUUUAUGUUACUAAAGAAAUAUACAAUAUUUUUGUUGUACAUAAUUUAAUAAGAGCGAAAGGGAAUACGGUUCCAAUUCCGUAACCUGUUGAGUAUACGUUUGUUUAUUAAAAAUGGGUCUUAUUACACUCAUCCUGGCAACAGGAACAACCAUAGAGAAGCCUUCGAGAGAUACUGGAAGAGUUUUCUUUUCUGUUGAACAAUCGUAUCACCAUGGAAUUCUUUCACAGAGAGAUAUGGUGAAUGGAUUGGAAGAGCAUGACAUUUACUGUUGUGUCAGUAUUUUCUCCUUGGACCUUGAAAAUCUAUGGUGGGGCCACGCAAACAUCUCAACAGACCGUACCGAUAUCCGCAGCCGGUCUCCAAGGUGAAGAGUCUCUAGUCGAUAGA
This 918-nucleotide ribosomal RNA is filed under the name Neoempheria lineola. RNAcentral's name for it is "partial 28S ribosomal RNA". It matches the Rfam family "Eukaryotic large subunit ribosomal RNA", at positions 1073 to 1894 of the family's 3401-position model. The record is from RNAcentral. Lineage: Eukaryota; Metazoa; Arthropoda; Insecta; Diptera; Mycetophilidae.